CCGAGUUUACAACUCCCAAACCCCUGUGAACCUUACCCAUUCGUUGCUUCGGCGGACACGCCCCGGCGCCCCCGUGCCCGGACCCGGCGCCCGCCGAGGGACCCCAAAACCCGUCUCGUCAGUGACUUAUCUGAGUGGCGCAAGCAAAUACAAUCA
Molecule: unclassified non-coding RNA, 156 nt
Filed under: uncultured Hypocreales
Lineage: Eukaryota; Fungi; Ascomycota; Sordariomycetes; Hypocreales
Description: sequence contains ITS1
Source: RNAcentral